Molecule: long non-coding RNA, 338 nt
Organism: Olea europaea var. sylvestris
Lineage: Eukaryota; Viridiplantae; Streptophyta; Magnoliopsida; Lamiales; Oleaceae
Exons: 2
Source: RefSeq, a predicted model, not a curated record
UGUAAAUUUUCUCUUUGUUCAAUCUUUUAAUAUACAGUGCCAACAACUUUCAGUUUGUGCUUCAAUCGUUCAAUAGAUUUCAAUUAACCAAAUUUCAAAGACAUUAGCCCAAGAUAGACCUGCGUAAGGCCGAGGUCAUCGAGACAAAAUGAAACCGACUCACAAGCCGGUGGUGAGGUUGGAGUCCUUGACCUCCAGGACGAGCCAUCUGCCCAGCUGAUAAAAUAACUCAAGGCUUGAUGCCCGAGGCAUCAUGAGGUCGGGCCCAAAAUUUAUAGUACCAUCAAUUACUAUUGUAUUUCACAACUCUUUUUAUGACUCAUGAGUAGUUACAUCAA